UUCCAGACUCCUACGGGAGGCAGCAGUGGGGAAUAUUGCACAAUGGGGGAAACCCUGAUGCAGCGACGCCGCGUGAAGGAAGAAGUAUUUCGGUAUGUAAACUUCUAUCAGCAGGGAAGAAAAUGACGGUACCUGACCAAGAAGCCCCGGCUAACUACGUGCCAGCAGCCGCGGUAAUACGUAGGGGGCAAGCGUUAUCCGGAUUUACUGGGUGUAAAGGGAGCGUAGACGGCUGAGCAAGUCAGAAGUGAAAGCCCGGGGCUCAACCCCGGGACUGCUUUUGAAACUGCGGAGCUGGAGUGCAGGAGAGGUAAGCGGAAUUCCUGGUGUAGCGGUGAAAUGCGUAGAUAUCAGGAGGAACACCAGUGGCGAAGGCGGCUUACUGGACUGUAACUGACGUUGAGGCUCGAAAGCGUGGGGAGCAAACAGGAUUAGAUACCCCGGUAU
RNAcentral lists this ribosomal RNA (447 nucleotides) under uncultured bacterium. RNAcentral describes it as "bacterial SSU rRNA". It matches the Rfam family "Bacterial small subunit ribosomal RNA", at positions 329 to 793 of the family's 1533-position model. The record is from RNAcentral.